RNAcentral lists this ribosomal RNA (253 nucleotides) under uncultured bacterium. RNAcentral describes it as "partial 16S ribosomal RNA". It matches the Rfam family "Bacterial small subunit ribosomal RNA", at positions 524 to 776 of the family's 1533-position model. The record is from RNAcentral.
UACGGAGGGGGCUAGCGUUGUUCGGAAUUACUGGGCGUAAAGCGCACGUAGGCGGCUUUGUAAGUUAGAGGUGAAAGCCCGGGGCUCAACUCCGGAAUUGCCUUUAAGACUGCAUCGCUAGAAUUGUGGAGAGGUAAGUGGAAUUCCGAGUGUAGAGGUGAAACUCGUAGAUAUCGGGAGGAACACCAGUGGCGAAGGCGACUUCCUGGCCUGUUCUUGACGCUGAGGCGCGAAAGCUAGGGGAGCAAACGGG